CGCGGGGUGGAGCAGUCUGGUAGCUCGUCGGGCUCAUAACCCGAAGGUCGUUGGUUCAAAUCCAACCCCCGCUA
This 74-nucleotide transfer RNA is filed under the name Nitrospira sp. Its description in RNAcentral is "tRNA-Met". It matches the Rfam family "tRNA". From Rfam's summary of the family: Transfer RNA (tRNA) molecules are approximately 80 nucleotides in length. Their secondary structure includes four short double-helical elements and three loops (D, anti-codon, and T loops). The record is from RNAcentral. RNAcentral also lists the same sequence under 2 other names. Lineage: Bacteria; Pseudomonadati; Nitrospirota; Nitrospiria; Nitrospirales; Nitrospiraceae.